Molecule: small RNA, 273 nt
Filed under: Vigna angularis var. angularis
Lineage: Eukaryota; Viridiplantae; Streptophyta; Magnoliopsida; Fabales; Fabaceae
Description: Non-protein coding transcript
Source: RNAcentral
UUCCUCUUGUCUGAGAAACCAUUCCUCUUCCUGCAAGCUCUCUCCUCCUCCUAUGUCUUCUCCCUUUCCAUUCUUCACACUGAACCAUUAAAUUCUCGAUUAGGUGCUGCCCCAACGAUCACAAAGUAGCGGGUAUUGCUCUUAGUCGAUCAAUUUUCUCUAAUCUGAACCGGUGAUUCUAACAUUUUGAAAGUGCAAGCAAGUGGUCUAGGGUUCCUACUUGAGCUGGGUUGUCUACACUAGAGUAGGUGAUGAUGUACCUUUGGAGCAAGC